GCGGCGGUGGGGAAGAGACAGAAAUCUUUAAUAAAUAAAUUAGUUAAUAAAAAAAGAGAAAAAUGUGUAAAUGAUUCAAGAUCAUUCUGUGCGGCCCUUAACAGAUGCUUUGUGCCGGGCUCAGUAUUCUCACCGCAUCAGCGCUGAUCUGAAAUGAACUAUUUUCCUCUUCCAAUUCACAAAUAAUCGUGACUGGUGCCAUCUCCACCUAUCUGCAGAGCUACCCUGGAUCACUGGCGUCCACAUGACGGUCCUUUUUGGACCCCUCCCCCACACCAAGCCACUCGGUCCUCAAGCUGAAGCUGACUGCAGAGGGGUGCUGCUCCUGAAGGCGGUCUCCCCACUCCUUAAAAACACCCUUGGUUGGAGAUGGCUCAGCAGAGAGAGCUCACUGCUCUUGCCGAGGACCGGGGAUCAAUUCUCAGCACCCACAUGGCUGCUAACAAUUACCUGUAACUCCCGUUCCAGAGGUUCUGACGCCCUCCUCUGGCCCCUGAGGGCACUGCAUGCAUGUGGUGCACGGACGUACAUGGCAGGCAGAAUAUUCAUACAUACAUACCAAAUAAAAAUAAGUAAAAUGUUUUUGAAAGACGAUAAAAACACCCCCACUGCCUCCCAGCCUCCAGCAUCUAGAGCACUGGCCUCCUUUAACUGUAAGUCCUGAAUCUUUGUAAGGUUCUUGAGAGAACGAGCUACACCCACUCGGCUUCUACAGGAAACGUAGAAUGGAUUCAGCAGUGCCACCCGGACAGUGGAGGUGGGGACACCGAGAGAAAUAAGCCUCAGUAUUGCCCUACAGAAGAACCUAUGCUGGUGGGAGUGUGGGGGAGGGCAGACCACAGGCAGUGAAGUGUGCUGAACAGACAGAUUCGUGAGGAACUGGCAGAGACGAAUCCGGGCACGAGAAAGAUCCUGUAAGCAUACAGGUCCAUGGGGGUGGGGUCAGCGGAGGCAGCAGCCUUCUCUGUGUGGCGUGUAUCUACACUGGGACCCCCUUUCUCUCCAGGGACGGGGCCAGGGUGGACAGAGAUGCCCAGCUGCUUUGCCCAUCAGUCCAGUGGGGGCAUUUUGAUACUGCAGACAAGCAUUGGCCAUCUGGAGUGUCUGAAGAGGAACCAGCCCACAGUGAAAUUACAAAACUCUGGGCAGAAAUAUGGAGCAGAUGGUCUGUGAGACACUAGGGAGAUCCAACAGGGCUGGGUGGUAAGCGGCCAUGAAGGAAGGGGUGGUCAGCUUUGUCAGCAGCUGGGAAGGGUGCUUGGGGCACACAGCCGAGUCGGGCAGGGGUGCGCCUCCACAGUAGGCUUGCUUUAUGUCUCUAUAUGUAUGUUUGCUUGUGGCCACACUAUGCUUUUAUGUCUAUCUGUGUAUGUGUAUUUGCUUCCACAGUAGGGUUGUCUCAUUUCUCUGUAUGUGUGUGUGUUUUAAGAUCUGUAAAACUUUUAACUCCAGGUUACAAUGGCUCUGGAAAGAUACAAACACAUGGGUAACCUCCAUUUUGACCUCACUGCCAUCUUGGGUAAGAGUACCCACAUGUGCUAUUAGUCUUGGAUUUAUUAAAAUAUUCCUUUUAAUCGUCUUACAUUUACUAGCAUUGGUAAGCUGUAACUAACUGGGUAAAAUACAUGUCUAAAUUUAGCUUAUAUGUCUAGUUUAAAUAUAACAGGUAAUGGUGCCCAAUCCUCAAGUGCCUUUACAGAUCUGAGAGUAUGGCAUUUAACAAAAAAGCUUCUACCACAGAGACACGACAGCUCCCGCAGCACCCUAUAGCUCCUCCAAGAAGAUGUGUAGUUGCAAAAGACCUUCUGCCUUGAGGCCUGCCUUUGGGUAUGGCAAAGCCACCCACAAAGCAAAAAGCGGCCUUCCACCCUUCAGCUUCCUGGAUGCUACACCUGGGGGAUCUGAUUGUCUCAUCCUACCAAGGCAGGUAGACUAAAUCCUCCCCCACCACCAUAGGAAAAUCUUCAGGCCUCUUAUACUCAGCAGCUAACAGCAAGCACUGCCUCUAAGGCUGGUGUUCUCCAAGGACUAAGGAGAGACUUGGGACUGCCUGUGUAGCUAAAAAAGCUGUCUCAUUUCUGCUCAUUUAUCCCUCCCAGAUCUGCUAAUGGCAUUUGAUGACUUCAGGUACUGGUAGCUCAUUAUCUCAUUUGUUAAGUUUCCUGUUAAAUACAGACAGGUGUGCCUCUUUAAAAGGCUUCGGAGUCCAGGACUAACAGGUGUAUCUUUAAAAAUUCCCUUUAGUGUUCCUGUAAGAGAAUGUCUUACAGAUACCUACAGGUUCAAAAAAAAAAAAAAAAGUUUCGCUGCUUUAUCAGGAAAUCUGGUCUGGUAAAAACUAACAGUCUCCAGAGCGUGUUUUAACCCCACCCAUUUUACAGGUCACUCCUGCUGUCUGGACCAAGACCAACUUUCAAAGGGCCCUCCAGACAACGCCAAAACCUGCACCAGCUCCUGGGACUUCACCACUGGAUGAAUGUAUUCCCCGGUACGCAAUGAAAGCAGAGAUGCCCACGUCCUCACGCUCUGUAUACACCACUGACGCCUGAAGACAGGGGACAAAGUCCCAGGAUGACGAACAGCGCCUGCACAUUGCAGGUCCACUGAGCCUUUCCCCAGCAACCCAGGUCUUUCAAGGCCAGAUUCGAAAGGUCUUUCUGGACAUCUCCGACAAGAGGAACCACGGGCUUCCUGGAGAAAUGGAUGGCUCGUGGAUUUUUUAAGGGAAAUUUCCAGGUAAGCCCGGAACUUUCUUUGCCAGAUAACAAAGAACAAAGACUAAUAAGUUCAUGUCAGAAGAAUACGGGAGCUGGUCGCAAGGACAGGUUUAGGAUAAUCUGAGUAUCAAAAAUAAAAACAGCGAUAGAUUUCAGCACACUGGAUUUUUUCAAUGGGUCCAUAAUCUCACUGUGGAAAGAGAAAAACGGGUGAGGGGAAACAGGGAGCGAGA
Alexandromys fortis (reed vole) is the source of this 2950-nucleotide long non-coding RNA. RefSeq lists it as uncharacterized. The transcript is spliced from 3 exons. The record is from RefSeq and is a predicted model, not a curated record. NCBI's taxonomy places the organism in Eukaryota, Metazoa, Chordata, Mammalia, Rodentia, Cricetidae.